AUGAAAUUUCUCUAUGUCUUACCUCGCUGGGAGGGUUCCGCUUCAGAAUCUAGAGUCCUACGCAACUCCAUGAGAACUAAUCGCCAAGAUGCAUUUGUUGUACCUCAUGGAAGAUAUUACUUAGCUGAUGCUGGUUACACAAAUGGACCUGGAUUUCUAGCACCAUUCAGAUCCACUCGAUAUCACUUGAAAGAGUGGGCAUCAAGUCAGCAACGACCCCAAAAUGCCAAAGAGCUAUAUAACUUGCGCCACUCUUGUGCUAGAAAUGUAGUAGAGAGAACUUCAGGAACCAACUAUCCAAUGACAUAUUUGUUGAAUAUGUAG
This 324-nucleotide ribosomal RNA is filed under the name Triticum aestivum (bread wheat). Its description in RNAcentral is "partial small subunit ribosomal RNA". Lineage: Eukaryota; Viridiplantae; Streptophyta; Magnoliopsida; Poales; Poaceae. The record is from RNAcentral.